CAUUCUAGGUGUGACAGAGGAUCGGUAACAUGCAGAAUGGGCUCCUGUGUACCAGCAGCUAUUUCCCAUUCCUCAGUUUCUCUGUCUGGAGAACACAAGGACAUUCUUCAUGGCCGGUGGCUCUUCGAGGCAUUUGCCCUGUUUGGUGUUCAUGACUUUGGAAAGGGCACCGUAAACAGAGAUUCAGGAACACUGAUGCUGGAUGCUGUCCAUGAUGCCAUAACUACUUUUAGAUGCCCUGUCUCCCUAGACUCCUGUUGCCUGUGACAGUUCAUCUGACUUUUCCAGGUAAAUUGAAAAGGGAUUUGAUAGAGUAUCCCAGUGUGCAUCCUUUAAAUCUUUGAUAGUGGCACUAAACCCUGCAAAUCUUCCAGGGUAUUCUUCUGCUCUGGAUUUAUUAUCCUGAUCAAGGAUUGGGGGAAACUUAAGAGAUUUCCACUUGGGCCUUCCUGUCAUAUGGUACAUGCUUGUUUUAAGUCAAGUCCUUAGAAAACUUGUUUCUACCCUGACUUCAGCUGAUCCAUAGCCAAACAUAUUCUCACUUUGUUUUUCCUACUUAUGAAAUGGAUUAGAAAAUUGUCGCUGCUCUAACAUUUCUGGAAACAUAGAAACUGAACUUAUAUAUUUAAUCAGGUAAGAUAAAACUGUAAAAUAGAAAGACAUUAAUUUCUUUCAAAACUUGUUCUUCAUUUUUUUUCCUACCCUAGGUUAUCACCUAGAAGUAUAAAUCUUUCAAAAAGAAUAAGCUAAUGAUGCACACAAAAUAAUGUGAUUACACCAGCUAUUAACAAACUCUUAGUGCAUGUGAUAAACUAAAGUUUCCAUAAAAAAGGAUAUUCAGGGUUCUAAUUUUGGGCAAAAACAUGUUGAAUCAACUUAAAUUGGUUUGUUUACCUCAGAAAAUUCCAUACUAUUUAAUAUAAGAAUCUAAUAUAAUUGUUGAUGUAUAUGCGUGUGUGUCUAAGUUGGACAUUUGUUAGGCAAAAUAUUUUUAAAUUUCUUGAUAAAACUUGUUUUAGUUUUAAUUCUCAAACCUUCCUUUAUAAUCAUUGAAGUAGAAAAAAAUAUUUUGGAAUUUGGUGCCUGUUUUUCAGUACGCUCAUUUAAUUAGGUCGCAAAAUGAAUACUAGCACUUCUGAACAGUGCUGAGAAAUUGCUUUAAAUGUUUCCAUUGCAUUCUAAUAUUCUACAUAUAUUGGGACCUAGCUAGCUUUGUUGUGAUUAAUUUAGCCAACAAAUAUUGUCUUAUAUUUGACAAUUGUUUUUACCAGUUUAUUCAUUAGAGCUAUUUUUUAAUCAGGAGUCACUGAAAUCAGCAGCUCUGAUGGAUGUUACAAGCUUAACAAUGAUUCUCUCCAUAUUACUGACCCCAAAUGUUUAGAGUAAUUAAAUUUACAAAUAAGAACAUUUAUUAUAUUUAAUAAUAGAUGAUAGAUGUUUAGUAAGUUUACUAUGAAUCACAUUACUUAGCCCAAGGAAUGUUAAGCAUAAGUUUAACGUACCAUCAUUAGGUUAUUAUAAAUGAUUAUUGAUGUUCUAUUUAUUGUUAUUAUUAACAUUGGUAAUUAUGUUAAGAAGCCCUCCUUGACAAUCUAAUAAGUAGUUAUGUUAGUUAGAAUAGAAAGUGAGACCAAUUUAACAUUCCCUCCCUCAAAAUGAAUAAUUAUAUGAGUAAGUGACUAAAAUAGUAUUUUAUCAUACAUAUAAAAUGUAGCAUUUGAUUUAAAGGUGUUUACACCUUCUGAAGACCAACGUUUGAGCUCAAGUUCAUGUUGAAAAUGUAUCAGAAAUAUGUCUUAGACAAAUGAAAAUAAGAUUCUUUGGAAAUGAAAUAGACAAAUAUUAGGAUUCCAUAUAGUAUAUAUACCUCUUUGGAGUUCCCUGGUGGAACAGUUUGUUAAAGAUUCAGCUUUGUCAUUGCUGUAGCUCAGACUGCUGCUGUGACAUGGGUUUGAUCCCUGGCCUGGGAACUGCUGAAUGCCCCAGGUGCAGCCAAAAAAUAUAUCCAUUCAAAAUGAAUUAUUAAAUAAAUGUUCUGGAAUAUAUUUUUUUAUUUCCCCAAUACAUUUAUUUUUUUUUUCUGCUGUACAGCAUGGUGACCCAGUUACACAUGCAUGUAUACAUUCUUGUUUCUCACAUUAUCAUGCUCCAUCAUUAGUAACCAGACAUAGUUCCCCGUGCUACACAACAGGAUCUCAUUGCUAAUCCAUUCCAAAGGCAAUAGUCUGCAUCUAUUAACCCCAAGCUUCCCAUCCAUCCCUCUCCCUCUCCUCCUCCUCCCCCUUGGCAACCACAAGUCUGUUCUCCAAGUCCACGAUUUUCUUUUCUGUGGAAAGGUUCAUUUUGCUAAGGUGUACCUUUAAAUUGUGAUUUCAAUUAUGCAUUAAGCAUUUCUCUCCUAGGCUUAUAACAAUGAUUACAAAGUAACAUCCAUGAAUUUCCUAUGAAUUAUUUAACCAAUAACUAUUUUUAAAAGGGGCUCUUAGUUCAUUUCAACACAAAGAUACCUAUUCUUACCUCUGUGCCUUUUUUUCUCUCUUAGUUUUGUGUUCCUAAGUGUCAAAAUUAGAAGUAUUACAAUACAAAUAGUGGUAUGAUAUAAUAAUCAGAUAAGCUGCAGGUAAAUUUCUGUAUCACCCCAAGUUGCCAGGUGUAAAGUAGACCUGGAUUUAUGAAAGACUAAAUAUAUGUGUCACAAUUUUGAAUCAAAAGUAUUCACUCAUAUUACUUAGAAUGAAGCAAAAUUCAACAUGGUGUUAAAAUAAACAUCUGACCUUAAAAAAUUCCAGAGGCAAAGGAAAGACAAUGUACAUAGGUUACAUGAAUAGAAGAAAAAGAACACUACCAGUAACUAUGAAAUAGGAACCACACCAGUGUAGCAUGUUUUUGCAUAUCAGAUCCGCAAAUGUGAAAAAAAAACCUCAACACUUACUGAAAUUUUGUGGGGAGAGGCAUAUUGUAUGAACUACUAAUACAGCAGAAUUUUCAAAACCUUGCAUAAUGGUAUACUCCCUGACGCAGCAACCACAUGCCUUUCUGUGUACCUCUGAGAACCACUGGCCUGUAGCUCAUUGAUCACUGCUAUAAUACUUGUAAAAGAAAACUGUUGGAAACAAUAAAAAAUGUUCAUUAAUGCAGAUAAUUUUAAAUAAAUUAUGACAUUCAUAAUAUACAAUGAUUUUUAAUCAGUAAAAAAUGAGACUUGACAAGGCUUGAUCUCUAAAAUACAUUGUAAAAUAAAAAAUGAAUGCAGCAGGGCAAUAGAUACAGGAGAUCUACACUUCAUGAAAAAAUAGACAUAAAAUAAUCACCUACAUAUAUGUGUAGUUAAUAUUAAUCUUAGCCACACAGGACAAGCAUACUGAGUAUCUCUCUUUAUAUGGAGUUGUUCACUUCAAAUGAUUGUGCAAUACGUUUCAUCUUGAUAAGACACAAACUCAGUCAUUUCUGUGAUUAUGAACCCAGGAUCAGGAGACUACUCAGCUACUGUUUCUGUAACCUGUGGACUUUAAUUCGUCUUUUAGUACUACAGUUUCUCAUUUAUAGUAUAAAUAAAAUAAGUUGUGGGGUUUCUAUACUAUUUAAUGAUGCGCUUUAAAAGUUUUGAGUAUAUAAUAAUUGUUCAAAUGUAUUGCUUUGGUCACUAUAACUGUUAUUGGCUUUUUAAAUAUUAAUAUUUUAGGACUUUCUCCUUUCAUUCUGUCUAAACAAUAGUGUGUACUUAAGCUUUCUGGUCAUGCAGAAAGGAAGGUAAAGAAUCUGGUUCCUCCUGAGAUGCUCGCUGGCUAAGACUACAUACUUCUUCGAAGCCCAGUAAUUCUUUUACUUCCAUUGCAUGUGUCAUGGGUCCACCAUCCUUGAGACGUGUGAGAGCCCACUUCCUAAGUUUCAGUCUCUCUAGAAAAUCUAGUGAUGUCAUUUCCUGCAGGGCAGUGCUUCUCUCCAGCUGUACUGUCACAGAUGGUGCCACAACCCAUAGCUUUUCUAUGGAUCAAUGGCUUUAGUACUUGGAAGCUACAGUUUGAAGUAAUAGGCACCGUUUCACAAGAUUUGCAAUUUUCUUGUAUAUAUUGUAGUGUCCCCUACUGAUGACAUGUACACUUCCUAUUUUCUAAAAAAAAUCUACUUUCACAUACUAAAAACAAGUAAACAUGAAACUAGUGAUUUUCUCCCCAAAUUGCAUAUAUCUAUAGGCCCACCUAAUUUAUUGCAAUGUAUGUGCCCUAGAAAUACAGACAGAACAAAAAUAUAUACUCAACUACCUUGAUUUCAUAACAAUAGUGACACCUGAGGAGACGGGAAUGGCAAAGGUCAAGAAAGAAGGCAACUUUAUGGUGUUUAAAUGUUUCGCAGAAGGUUUCUAAGUAUCAAAUUAUGUACAUAAACAUCUAUCACCAAAUAUUUGAUUAACCUCAUAUUUAAUAGAGAUAUAAUGAAGUCUUACUGUUUCUUUUGAGGUUUAUCCAGAAUUAAAUUGUACCUCUGUAGAAGUAGCAUUUUAAAACUGCUAGUUAAAAAAUUUAACUGAAAAAAUUGUUAGUGAAUUAUACGACUAAAUUGUACCUGCCAUAUUAUAAAAUUUG
This 4583-nucleotide long non-coding RNA is filed under the name Sus scrofa (pig). RNAcentral's name for it is "lncRNA (ENSSSCG00025008998.1)". The record is from RNAcentral. Lineage: Eukaryota; Metazoa; Chordata; Mammalia; Artiodactyla; Suidae.